AGAGUUUGAUCAUGGCUCAGGACGAACGCUGGCGGCACGCUUAACACAUGCAAGUCGAACGAGAGAAGAGGAGCUUGCUUUUCUGAUCUAGUGGCGGACGGGUGAGUAACACGUGAGCAAUCUGCCUUUCAGAGGGGGAUACCGAUUGGAAACGAUCGUUAAUACCGCAUAACAUAAUUGAACCGCAUGAUUUGAUUAUCAAAGAUUUAUCGCUGAAAGAUGAGCUCGCGUCUGAUUAGCUAGUUGGUAAGGUAACGGCUUACCAAGGCGACGAUCAGUAGCCGGACUGAGAGGUUGAUCGGCCACAUUGGGACUGAGACACGGCCCAGACUCCUACGGGAGGCAGCAGUGGGGAAUAUUGCACAAUGGAGGAAACUCUGAUGCAGCGAUGCCGCGUGAGGGAAGAAGGUUUUAGGAUUGUAAACCUCUGUCUUCAGGGACGAAAAAAGACGGUACCUGAGGAGGAAGCUCCGGCUAACUACGUGCCAGCAGCCGCGGUAGUACGUAGGGAGCGAGCGUUGUCCGGAAUUACUGGGUGUAAAGGGAGCGUAGGCGGGAUCGCAAGUCAGAUGUGAAAACUAUGGGCUUAACCCAUAAACUGCAUUUGAAACUGUGGUUCUCGAGUGAAGUAGAGGUAAGCGGAAUUCCUAGUGUAGCGGUGAAAUGCGUAGAUAUUAGGAGGAACAUCAGUGGCGAAGGCGGCUUACUGGGCUUUAACUGACGCUGAGGCUCGAAAGCGUGGGGAGCAAACAGGAUUAGAUACCCUGGUAGUCCACGCCGUAAACGAUGAUUACUAGGUGUGGGGGGACUGACCCCUUCCGUGCCGCAGCAAACGCAAUAAGUAAUCCACCUGGGGAGUACGACCGCAAGGUUGAAACUCAAAGGAAUUGACGGGGGCCCGCACAAGCAGUGGAGUAUGUGGAUUAAUUCGAAGCAACGCGAAGAACCUUACCAGGUCUUGACAUCGUAUGCAUAGCUCAGAGAUGAGUGAAAUCUCUUCGGAGACAUAUAGACAGGUGGUGCAUGGUUGUCGUAAGCUCGUGUCGUGAGAUGUUGGGUUAAGUCCCGCAACGAGCGCAACCCUUACUGUUAGUUGCUACGCAAGAGCACUCUAGCAGGACUGCCGUUGACAAAACGGAGGAAGGUGGGGAUGACGUCAAAUCAUCAUGCCCCUUAUGACCUGGGCCUCACACGUACUACAAUGGCUGUCAACAGAGGGAAGCAAAGCCGCGAGGUGGAGCGAACCCCUAAAAGCAGUCUUAGUUCGGAUUGUAGGCUGCAACCCGCCUACAUGAAGUCGGAAUUGCUAGUAAUCGCAGAUCAGCAUGCUGCGGUGAAUACGUUCCCGGGCCUUGUACACACCGCCCGUCACGCCAUGGGAGUCGGUAACACCCGAAGCCUGUAGUCUAACCGCAAGGAGGACGCAGUCGAAGGUGGGAUUGAUGACUGGGGUGAAGUCGUAACAAGGUA
Molecule: ribosomal RNA, 1470 nt
Filed under: metagenome
Description: bacterial SSU rRNA
Rfam family: Bacterial small subunit ribosomal RNA
Source: RNAcentral